RNAcentral lists this ribosomal RNA (498 nucleotides) under uncultured Pseudomonadota bacterium. Its description in RNAcentral is "bacterial SSU rRNA". It matches the Rfam family "Bacterial small subunit ribosomal RNA", at positions 405 to 896 of the family's 1533-position model. The record is from RNAcentral. Lineage: Bacteria; Pseudomonadati; Pseudomonadota.
CGGAUGAAGGCCUUCGGGUUGUAAAGCUCUGUGGGGAGGGAAGAAUAAGGGCAGGCGAAUACCCUGUUUGAUGACGGUACCUCCUAGCAAGCACCGGCUAACUCUGUGCCAGCAGCCGCGGUAAGACAGAGGGUGCAAACGUUGUUCGGAUUUACUGGGCGUAAAGCGCGUGUAGGCGGCUUGGCAAGUCGGAUGUGAAAGCCCACGGCUCAACCGUGGAAGCACAUCCGAAACUGCUUCGCUUGAGUCUCGGAGAGGAAGGUGGAAUGCUUGGUGUAGAGGUGAAAUUCGUAGAUAUCAAGCAGAACACCUGCGGCGAAGGCGGCCUUCUGGACGAUGACUGACGCUGAGACGCGAAAGCGUGGGGAGCAAACAGGAUUAGAUACCCUGGUAGUCCACGCCGUAAACGAUGAGUGCUAGGUGUCACGGGCUUUGACCCUCGUGGUGCCGUAGCUAACGCAAUAAGCACUCCGCCUGGGGAGUACGGCCGCAAGGCUA